RNAcentral lists this ribosomal RNA (213 nucleotides) under uncultured bacterium. RNAcentral describes it as "partial 16S ribosomal RNA". It matches the Rfam family "Bacterial small subunit ribosomal RNA", at positions 524 to 736 of the family's 1533-position model. The record is from RNAcentral.
GACAGAGGGUGCAAACGUUGCUCGGAAUCACUGGGCGUAAAGGGCGCGUAGGCGGGAAUGUAAGUCGGGCGUGAAAUCCCUAGGCUCAACCUAGGAACUGCACUCGAAACUGCGUUUCUUGAGUAUCGGAGAGGAAAGCGGAAUUCCUGGUGUAGAGGUGAAAUUCGUAGAUAUCAGGAGGAACACCAGUGGCGAAGGCGGCUUUCUGGACGG